AGAGUUUGAUCAUGGCUCAGAAUCAACGCUGGCGGCGUGCCUCAGACAUGCAAGUCGAACGCGAAAGACGCCUUCGGGUGUUGAGUAGAGUGGCGCACGGGUGAGUAACACGUAGGUAAUCUACCUUCGGGUGGGGAAUAACCCAGGGAAACUUGGGCUAACACCGCAUAAUGCAGCGGCACCACAUGGUGACAGUUGUUAAAGCGGGGGAUUUUAGGACCUCGCGCCUGAAGAGGAGCCUGCGGCGGAUUAGCUAGUUGGUAGGGUAACGGCUUACCAAGGCGACGAUCCGUAACCGGCCUGAGAGGGCGGUCGGUCACACUGACACUGACAUACGGGUCAGACUCCUACGGGAGGCAGCAGUCGGGAAUUUUGGGCAAUGGGCGAAAGCCUGACCCAGCAACGCCGCGUGAAGGAUGAAAUCCCUCGGGAUGUAAACUUCGCAAGAAUGGGAAGAAUUAGUAGGGGACAAUACCCCCUAUGAUGACGGUACCAUUUGUAAGCUCCGGCUAACUCCGUGCCAGCAGCCGCGGUAAUACGGGGGGAGCAAGCGUUGUUCGGAUUACUGGGCGUAAAAGGGCGAGGCGGCCAGCGCAAGUCGGUGAAAUCUCCGGGCUUAACUCGGAAAGGUCAACCGAUACUGCGCGGCUAGAGUGCAGAAGGGGCAACUGGAAUUCUCGGUGUAGCGGUGAAAUGCGUAGAUAUCGAGAGGAACACCUGCGGCGAAGGCGGGUUGCUGGGCUGACACUGACGCUGAUGCGCGAAAGCCAGGGGAGCGAACGGGAUUAGAUACCCUAGUAGUCC
RNAcentral lists this ribosomal RNA (804 nucleotides) under uncultured bacterium. RNAcentral describes it as "bacterial SSU rRNA". It matches the Rfam family "Bacterial small subunit ribosomal RNA", at positions 8 to 796 of the family's 1533-position model. The record is from RNAcentral.